GUGGUCGUACUUCUAGGGAUCAGUCCUAUAGUACGUAUCACCAGGACGUCAAACAACUUUGACUUUUGGAGAUUA
Molecule: non-coding RNA, 75 nt
Organism: Schistosoma rodhaini
Lineage: Eukaryota; Metazoa; Platyhelminthes; Trematoda; Strigeidida; Schistosomatidae
Source: Rfam